Molecule: ribosomal RNA, 429 nt
Filed under: Gemmatimonadota bacterium
Lineage: Bacteria; Pseudomonadati; Gemmatimonadota
Description: Gemmatimonadetes bacterium partial 16S ribosomal RNA
Rfam family: Bacterial small subunit ribosomal RNA
Source: RNAcentral
UAGGGAAUCUUCGGCAAUGGACGAAAGUCUGACCGAGCAACGCCGCGUGAGUGAAGAAGGUUUUCGGAUCGUAAAACUCUGUUGUUAGAGAAGAACAAGGACGUUAGUAACUGAACGUCCCCUGACGGUAUCUAACCAGAAAGCCACGGCUAACUACGUGCCAGCUGCCGCGGUAAUACGUAGGUGGCAAGCGUUGUCCGGAUUUAUUGGGCGUAAAGCGAGCGCAGGCGGUUUCUUAAGUCUGAUGUGAAAGCCCCCGGCUCAACCGGGGAGGGUCAUUGGAAACUGGGAGACUUGAGUGCAGAAGAGGAGAGUGGAAUUCCAUGUGUAGCGGUGAAAUGCGUAGAUAUAUGGAGGAACACCAGUGGCGAAGGCGGCUCUCUGGUCUGUAACUGACGCUGAGGCUCGAAAGCGUGGGGAGCAAACAGG